RNAcentral lists this small RNA (130 nucleotides) under Caenorhabditis brenneri. RNAcentral's name for it is "sRNA CBN34319". Lineage: Eukaryota; Metazoa; Nematoda; Chromadorea; Rhabditida; Rhabditidae. The record is from RNAcentral.
UUUUGAAGCAAGUUAUGCGUCUUUGAAGUUGGAGGUGAGAGAGUCAGAGACGGCAGAGAAAGAGACAGUCGUUUUCUCUGCCGUCUCUCACUCUCGUCUCCAACUUUAAAGGCGCAUAACUCCCUUCAAA